UACAGGAAUGCACAGCUGUCCCAUACAGGGAUCGAACCUGCAGCCUUGGUGUUAUCAGAGUCACGCUCUAGCCAACUGAGCUAUCUAUAAAAUCAAUUCUGAGAUCCAUGCACAUUUGAAAUACCCAAUAACCAUUUCGUCAAAGCAUUAAAACAUCCUUAAUUUUAAAAGCAUUACAAUUAAGUAACAUCAGAAGUGCAAGGGCAGGCUUCCCUAAACAGAUGUGUCUUCAGGAGCCAGUGACAUGCAAAUGUGGAUGGAGGUGGUGUAUUUCAGCAGGGAGGGCAUUCCAACCACACUACAGCCACCAAUGAAGACCCAGUUCUUCGUUACCGCAGACUGAUAAUGUCAGGCUGUGGUAGAACUAACUGGGUUCUGUCUGGUGGUCAUAGUGCCCUUGUGGACUAGUUCCACAGACUGAUUUUUUUUUAGUGCAAACAAGUUCUAAUGGUAUGUCAGGGCCUAGCUAUGACUUCAGCAUCGUGAGGUGGUGACGCUUAGCCAGAAUUUGGGUACAUAUUUAUAUUUUAAUUCACUGGGUCACGGGCAUGAUUAUGAUCUAUCAUUUUGUUUAUAUGUGUUUCUGCCUCGCCUCCUUUCAUGGACCUCAAAAGCGAUGCAGAGAGGUUUGCUGGCCCAUUCCACCCUGGACACUCGUCAGAGGCUUCAGCAAGAACGACAAAAGCACAGCAGUUACAUUCGCAGCAUGUUAAAGAUCACGGAUCAGAGCAAAGCAGAAGAUAAGGAUGAGAAUAAGGAUUUGCAAAACAAGGCUUUAGUGCAGGUGUGGGGAACCUUUGGCCUUCCAUCCGCCCCAGAAAGCAGCCUUUGGCCAAUCAGCAGCCUCUGGACAGCCAAGCAUUGCCCACACCUGCUUUAGUUGGUCAUGAGAAAGGGGUGAUAUUGGCUACGUCUUGGGAAGAUUUAACCAGUGGGAACUUAGAUCAGAGGUGCAAUAAAGCAUGGCAAACUGCUUUCACUGAAAGAAGAAGACCCUGCUGGAUCAGGCCAGUGGCUCUUCUAGUCCAGCAUCCUGUUCUCGCAGUGGCCACCCAGACGUCCGCAGGAAACCUGCAAGCAGAACUUAAUGCCCAAGGGCGGGGAGGAAAACAUGGGACCCAAUUACAGCCGCGUGCUCCGGUUUUAUUAUUUGCACAGAUGGGAGUAUGAGCAACUGAGGAGCCAUGCAAUUAGCUGAGAUUGUAGGUAGCUGCAUCUGCCUCUAAAGACCAUCGCUGCAAGCUGAAAGACAAAUGCACAAUCACUAGUUGAUUGAUUCCCUUUUGUAGGCUUCCCCAGCUGGGCCUUGCUGCUAAGACACACAUGCACACUCUCACUCUCUCCUACCAUCAUCACUGUACCCUAUUUUACAGAGGCUGCUCUGUCCUGGCAAGGAGGUGCAGCUGCUACAAACAGCCCUUGAACUGAUGAAAUAGCCCCCCCCUAUUGAUAAGACGGGCAAAUAAAGCCAUUUAUUGUCUGCAAAUGGCAAAGCCCCCCAGAACCUGAGCUCAGCAGCAGCCUCUUCUGAAGGUAAUUCUCCCCACCAACCACCCUGCUUUCUGCUCCAAGCUGUGCCCCCAUCACCACAGCAACCUCGGGUGAAGCUGGAGGUAUCUCUGCCUCCUGCCAGACAUCUGGGCCAGCCGUGUCAUUGAGGUUCCUUGCGGAGAUAAGCAAAGAUUUCUUCCUUUUUCCUACCGACCCCUCCUCCCCUCCCUGCAGCUGUCUGGGACCCUGGGCUCUUCCUCCACCGGCAAGAAAGCCUCAGCUGCUGCUGUUUUCACCCAUGCCAGGAGGGGAGGGAGCUGUGCAGCCCCCCCUUACCCAAACCAGAUUUCCUACUUCAUUUUGGACACUGGCGCCUUGUUGCACCCCCUUUAAAUUCUGGCGUUCCACCUUAGCUCCCUUGGGAAGAUGCAGCUCAAAGGGGACAAGAGAGGCAUGCAGGUGUUUCACAGGGCAGGGUUCCCAGGGAGACAGCGUCUGAGGCCUGUUCAGUGCUUUCUUGACAUACAAAGGAAUGCCUGAAUGUCUCAAUAAACAACACUUGUUUUCUA
This is a non-coding RNA of Podarcis muralis (Common wall lizard), 2060 nucleotides long. Lineage: Eukaryota; Metazoa; Chordata; Lepidosauria; Squamata; Lacertidae. The record is from RefSeq and is a predicted model, not a curated record.